This 23-nucleotide small nuclear RNA is filed under the name Arabidopsis thaliana (thale cress). RNAcentral describes it as "snRNA_01446". The record is from RNAcentral. Lineage: Eukaryota; Viridiplantae; Streptophyta; Magnoliopsida; Brassicales; Brassicaceae.
AAAACAAGAUUUUGAAUGUAAAA